UUAAAAAAAAAAAAAAAAUUGUUCAAACUCUCUCUUUGACAUGAAAAUUCCCAUCACCUUCCAAACAUAACCAUAACCGUAUCCCUAUUAAAUUUCUUGCAGACAACAAUUUGUAAUCAUUUAUACAAAAACAACAAUAACUAAGCCUUAAUCUUAAACUAAUUAGAAUCAGCUACAUAGAUCUUUUUUGUCAUUUAGCUCUGUUUAAAACCAAUUUUGUAUC
Molecule: unclassified non-coding RNA, 223 nt
Filed under: Hevea brasiliensis (rubber tree)
Lineage: Eukaryota; Viridiplantae; Streptophyta; Magnoliopsida; Malpighiales; Euphorbiaceae
Source: RNAcentral